UGAGGAAUAUUGGUCAAUGGGCGGGAGCCUGAACCAGCCAAGCCGCGUGAGGGAUGAAGGCCCUAUGGGUCGUAAACCUCUUUUGUCAGGGAACAAAAACGAGUAUGUAUACUUGUCUGAGUGUACCUGAAGAAAAAGCAUCGGCUAACUCCGUGCCAGCAGCCGCGGUAAUACGGAGGAUGCGAGCGUUAUCCGGAUUUAUUGGGUUUAAAGGGUGCGUAGGCGGCGGUGCAAGUCAGCGGUAAAAGCCCGGGGCUCAACCCCGGCGAGCCGUUGAAACUGCAGUGCUAGAGAAGGCGAGAGGUACGCGGAAUGCGCAGUGUAGCGGUGAAAUGCUUAGAUAUUGCGCAGAACUCCGAUUGCGAAGGCAGCGUACUGGCGCCUGACUGACGCUGAGGCACGAAAGCGUGGGGAUCGAACAGGAUUAGAUACCC
RNAcentral lists this ribosomal RNA (434 nucleotides) under uncultured bacterium. RNAcentral describes it as "bacterial SSU rRNA". It matches the Rfam family "Bacterial small subunit ribosomal RNA", at positions 355 to 787 of the family's 1533-position model. The record is from RNAcentral.